RNAcentral lists this ribosomal RNA (253 nucleotides) under uncultured bacterium. RNAcentral describes it as "partial 16S ribosomal RNA". It matches the Rfam family "Bacterial small subunit ribosomal RNA", at positions 524 to 776 of the family's 1533-position model. The record is from RNAcentral.
UACGUAGGGACCAAGCGUUGUCCGGAAUCAUUGGGCGUAAAGGGCGCGUAGGCGGGUGCUCAAGUCCGGGGUGAAAUCCUCCAGCUCAACUCCAGAACUGCCUUUGAUACUGAGAAGCUUGAGUCCGGGAGAGGUGAGUGGAACUGCGAGUGUAGAGGUGAAAUUCGUAGAUAUUCGCAAGAACACCAGUGGCGAAGGCGGCUCACUGGCCCGGUACUGACGCUGAGGUGCGAAAGCGUGGGGAGCAAACAGG